CCUACGGGGGGCUGCAGUGGGGAAUAUUGGACAAUGGGGGCAGCCCUGAUCCAGCCAUGCCGCGUGUGUGAAGAAGGCCCUCGGGUUGUAAAGCACUUUCAGUGAGGAAGAACGCCUGGUGGUUAAUACCCAUCAGGAAAGACAUCACUCACAGAAGAAGCACCGGCUAACUCCGUGCCAGCAGCCGCGGUAAUACGGAGGGUGCGAGCGUUAAUCGGAAUUACUGGGCGUAAAGCGCGCGUAGGUGGCUUGAUAAGCCGGUUGUGAAAGCCCCGGGCUCAACCUGGGAACGGCAUCCGGAACUGUCAAGCUAGAGUGCAGGAGAGGAAGGUAGAAUUCCCGGUGUAGCGGUGAAAUGCGUAGAGAUCGGGAGGAAUACCAGUGGCGAAGGCGGCCUUCUGGACUGACACUGACACUGAGGUGCGAAAGCGUGGGUAGCAAACAGGAUUAGAUACCCUGGUAGUC
RNAcentral lists this ribosomal RNA (465 nucleotides) under Vreelandella stevensii. Its description in RNAcentral is "partial 16S ribosomal RNA". It matches the Rfam family "Bacterial small subunit ribosomal RNA", at positions 338 to 795 of the family's 1533-position model. Lineage: Bacteria; Pseudomonadati; Pseudomonadota; Gammaproteobacteria; Oceanospirillales; Halomonadaceae. The record is from RNAcentral.